GUUAUUUUAAAAAAAAAAAAAAUCCAUGAGCAGGGGUCGUGUUGUUCUAACUGAUUCCCUUUUACAAUUUUGCAAACAUGUUUCCUUCAGAAGAAAACGUCUUUGUCAAUCUAAAAUAUGUUUAUGUUUACUUUGGUAAUAUGUUAUACAAAGCUUUCAUCAAGUAAACCAAUUACUUCUGAGAAGGACAACUAAGAAUAGCUUUUCCUAGACAAAGCAAUUAAGAACUGCAAGACUAGGGAGAAAGCAUAAAAUUGUAUGAAGGAAUUCACAGGGAGAAGAAACCAAUGCCGCACAGCAAAAAUAUAAUACAAGCAAAGAUUGAACAAAGAAAAGCAUUUUAGCUAAAACACAAUGCAAAAGUAACAUCUGUUCUCAAGGGGGCACAUCAAAUACAAUGAUCUGAACCUAUGAGAUUCCAAAUUGAAUUUUCAGUCCAAAUUUUAUUGGGUAAAACAGCAUGACCUGUUGUUUUGAUGAACAAAAAUAAUGGAAAAG
This 498-nucleotide unclassified non-coding RNA is filed under the name Hevea brasiliensis (rubber tree). Lineage: Eukaryota; Viridiplantae; Streptophyta; Magnoliopsida; Malpighiales; Euphorbiaceae. The record is from RNAcentral.